UCUCUCGUUUCUCCAAUUAUAAAAGCCGGCUCGAACCCCAUUCCCAAAACCUCCCCAACCGCAACAGAAAACGGUUGGUUGGCCAGCAGCAGCAACAAUGAGGGACUUUCUAAUUAUCCUUGGCUCCUCCAUUGUCCUCCCUCCAAAUCACCACAACAACAAUCACUUCUCCAAACUCAAACCCUCCACCACCACCAAACUCUCUCCUUCCAAACCUCCACCACCACUCCAAUCACCGUCCACUUCAUCUCCGCCCACUCGUCCUCCCCUUUUCUCCACCGUCCGAUGGGACUCCGCCCCCUCCCGCCGCCGCAACCACCUCAAGUACUACGCCGACCUCGCUUCCAAUCUCGCCGAAGACGCCAGGUUCCACGACUUCCUGAUGAUUACGGAGAGCGUUGUGGUGUCCGGAAUCGAGAGUGCGGAUUUCUUGAGUUUGUUGAGCAUCGAGCUUUUUUCGGCUGGGAUAGUGCGAGUGAUUAGCGAGGGGAAGGUUUGGAGAGUUGUUGAGGUUCUGAUUUGUGUUGAGAAGCUAGGGAUUGAUGUGUUGCGGCUGUUUGAUGGGGCUGCGAUGGAGGCGAUUGCGGAAGAGUGUCGCCGGAUUGUGAAGCGGGGAGAGGUGGAGGAAGCAGUCAAAUUGAUGGAAAUACUUGCAGGUUUACAUUUUUCGAUCAAAGAACUGGUGGAUCCAUCUGAGAUUGUAGGACUUUGUGUGAGAAAACGUGACUCAAAUAUAGCUAUAAGGUAUGCUUGCAUUAUUCCUCAUGCACAUAUAUUAUUUUGUACUAUUAUUCAUGAAUUUGGGAAGAAAGGGGAUUUGGUGUCAGCUUUGACUGUAUUUGAAGCUUCCAAGCAGAAAUCGAUUGGUCCUAAUAUGUAUGCCUACCGCACAAUAAUUGAUGUUUGUGGUCUUUGUGGUGACUACCUAAAAUCUAGGUCCAUUUAUGAGGAGUUACUUGCUAAAAAGGUCACCCCAAAUAUCUAUGUUUUCAACAGCCUCAUGAAUGUGAAUGCCUGUGAUUUGAGCUACACAUUGCAACUUUACAAGCAUAUGAAAAAUCUAGGUGUUGCAGCAGAUAUGACAUCUUAUAAUAUUCUUUUGAAGUCGUGCUGUAUUGCUGCAAGAGUUGAUUUGGCCCAAAACAUUUAUAGUGAAGUUCAACGAUUGGAAUCAUCAGGAGUGUUGAAAUUGGACGUCUUCACGUACAGCACAAUUAUAAAGAUCUUUGCAGAUGCAAAAUUGUGGCAAAUGUCACUGAAAAUCAAAGAUGAUAUGCUAUCAGCUGGAGUCGCUCCAAAUACAGUUACAUGGUCAUCAUUGAUCAGUGCAUGUGCAAAUGCAGGUCUUGUAGAGCAGGCAAUUCAGUUAUUUGAUGAGAUGCUUCUCACCGGUUGUCAACCUAAUUCACAGUGUUGCAAUGUGCUUCUUCAUGCUUGUGUUGAGGCUUUCCAGUACGACAGGGCUUUCCGUCUUUUCAGGUCCUGGAAGGAAAGUGGGUUUCAUAAGGCUUCUGUUGAAGGGUACAAUGUCAAUAAAUAUAGUAAUGCAGGUGCUUAUGGAAAUUUCAGCAAUACCAUGUUGAAUCGCACAGCAAAGUCGCAUAAUUUAAACUUUCCUAGGCGUGUUCUCUUUACACCUACAACUGCAACGUAUAAUAUUUUAAUGAAGGCCUGUGGUACUGAUUACUACCGUGCAAAAGCUUUAAUGGAUGAGAUGAAUGCAGUAGGUCUCUCUCCAAAUUAUAUAAGCUGGUCAACUCUAGUUCACAUCUGUGGGGGCUCAGGGAAUGUUGAAGGUGCUGUGCAGAUUUUGAGUUCUUUGCGUGAGGCUGGCAUUCAACCUGAUGUCAUUGCAUAUACAGCAGUCAUCAAGGUUUGUGUGGAAAGAAAAGAUCUGAAGACAGCAUUCUCCUUGUUUGCAGAAAUGAAAAGAUAUCAAAUAAAACCAAAUAUGGUAACAUACAAUACACUUUUAAGAGCUCGAAGCACAUAUGGUUCCCUGCAGGAAGUCCAACAAUGCCUGGAGAUAUAUCAGGAUAUGCGUAAAGCAGGGUACAAAUCCAAUGACUACUAUCUUAAACAACUCAUAGAGGAGUGGUGUGAAGGAGUAAUACAAAAUAAUAAUCAGUAUGAAGGCCGGUUCAGUUCUUGCAACGAGGCUGACUUAGGGGGACCUCACAGCUUGCUUCUUGAGAAAGUUGCGGUUCACUUGCAAAAGAGAAACACUGAAAGCAUGGCAAUUGAUCUACAAGGUCUCACAAAGGUUGAAGCUCGAAUUGUUGUUCUUGCGGUUCUGAGAAUGAUCAAAGAAAACAAUGCCCAAGGAUGUCCACUAAAAGAUGACUUGUUCAUCAUCUUACAAGUCAAAAAAACAAGUACAAACUCUGCCAAAGCCAAAUCAGAGGUAGAAGAUGCUAUAACCAAACUUCUGCAGGAUGAAUUGGGGCUCGAGGUCACUUUGGCCGGAUCUGAAAAAGUCAAUCCGAGUACCUCUCUUGUUUCAUAUGCAAAUGAGGAAGAAAUUCUAGGAAGUAAUAGGUUCCCAACAAAGUUGAAACCUUCUGCCCGAAGACCUGCAAUUUUGCAUAGGUUGAAGGUUACAAGGAAAUCAUUGCGUUAUUGGUUACAAAGACGAGGCAACAAGAAUGACGUACCCAGAAGGGAACGAAACUUCAUUUUCAGCGAUUGUGAAAUAUGAGUGAAAGAGCAGCUGGGGUGGAAACAACUGGGGUGAAUCGAUUCGUUGCAGUUGUUGAUCUAAACUUCAUGAACCCAUGUGAACCCAGCUAGGAGGUUUCUUGGUUGUCCAAAUUAUAGAAAAAUUGGGGCUUGUGGCUUUUUCUCUUGGUAUGAUCCACCCACUUGUCCUUAGGGUUGACGAGCCUUACCAAAGUUGGUGGACAAGGUUGUAACCUUGGAGCAAAUGGUAAUUGAGAUUACAAGAUUGGAGGUUAUUCAAAUUUAUCAUGGUAGACAGAAAGGGAUUGUAGCUGGAUUGAUUGUUGCAGUGAUUGUAAUUAGAAUGUUAGUAGUUAGUAGUUAGGAAAUAUAGGUUUGUUAGUUAGCUAGUUAGCAAUUAUGGUUUGGCGAAUGUAAUGGCAACUAUGCACUUGUCAAUUUGAACUUAAUGUAUAAUUUUGAAUGAAAUGAGAAUUUCCUAUCUUGUUUUUAUGUGUU
This is an RNA transcript of Camellia sinensis, 3177 nucleotides long. It is a transcript of the gene named Tetratricopeptide repeat (TPR)-like superfamily protein, with no coding region annotated. The record is from RefSeq and is a predicted model, not a curated record. Lineage: Eukaryota; Viridiplantae; Streptophyta; Magnoliopsida; Ericales; Theaceae.